RNAcentral lists this ribosomal RNA (703 nucleotides) under Lutibacter sp. RNAcentral describes it as "bacterial SSU rRNA". It matches the Rfam family "Bacterial small subunit ribosomal RNA", at positions 28 to 720 of the family's 1533-position model. Lineage: Bacteria; Pseudomonadati; Bacteroidota; Flavobacteriia; Flavobacteriales; Flavobacteriaceae. The record is from RNAcentral.
GAUGAACGCUAGCGGCAGGCUUAACACAUGCAAGUCGAGGGGUAACAGGGAGAAGCUUGCUUUUCCGCUGACGACCGGCGCACGGGUGCGUAACGCGUAUAGAACCUACCUUUUACAGGAGAAUACCCCAGAGAAAUUUGGAAUAAUGCUCCAUAGUAUUAUUGAGUGGCAUCAUUUGAUAAUUAAACAUUUAUGGGUAAAAGAUGGCUAUGCGUUCUAUUAGCUAGAUGGUAAGGUAACGGCUUACCAUGGCAACGAUAGAAAUAGGGGUCCUGAGAGGGAGAUCCCCCACACUGGUACUGAGACACGGACCAGACUCCUACGGGAGGCAGCAGUGAGGAAUAUUGGACAAUGGAGGCAACUCUGAUCCAGCCAUGCCGCGUGCAGGAAGACGGCCCUAUGGGUUGUAAACUGCUUUUAUAUAGGAAGAAACCUUUCCACGUGUGGAAAGCUGACGGUACUGUAUGAAUAAGCACCGGCUAACUCCGUGCCAGCAGCCGCGGUAAUACGGAGGGUGCAAGCGUUAUCCGGAAUCAUUGGGUUUAAAGGGUCCGUAGGCGGACUAAUAAGUCAGGGGUGAAAUACCACAGCUCAACUGUGGAACUGCCUUUGAUACUGUUAGUCUUGAGUUAUAUGGAAGUAGAUAGAAUGUGUAGUGUAGCGGUGAAAUGCUUAGAGAUUACACAGAAUACCGAUUGCGAAG